UAGUGGACGGGACGCUCCUUCAAAAACAACAGUUAGUCAGACACCUCGGUAGCUUUCUAGCAAACAUAGCUACAACAUUCACGCUCUUUACACUGUUUUGGUGUAUAUUAGUCGCUGUGUUUUGAACACACUUCUGUGGUAUGUGCUUGUUGGCCUAUUUAAUUAUAUAAUUACGUUGUUUGUCAGCUAGCUGGUUUGCUAAAUUAGCUUAGAACUAGGCUAGUCGCUAAUGCUAGCUAGCGAACAUCCCCGACCAUGAGUUCACUAAGCUACUCUCCUCCUGCUAAAAAAGAGGUCUUCUGGACGGAGAAAGAAGCUCAUCUGAAAGAGAAGGAUGAGGAGAAGGAUGUUACAAUACAAAAACAAGUAGAGGGUGAAGCUGUUACCGUGAUAGAAGAAGAAAAAAACGUUUCUGUGGAAGAAAAGGAAGACUCGUUCAGAGUGAAAGAGGAGGAGGAUGUUACAGUAAAAGAAGAGGAGGCUGAGAGAGGAGGAUGCAGUUUUUGGAGUGAAAGAGGAGGAGGGGGAGAUGACUGUCACAUCGAAAAAGGAGGAGAACGACGAAGAGGAGGAAACUGGACAUCUGGGCCCAGUUUCCCAAAGGCAUCUUAAGGCAUCCUAUGGUUCGGAGGUGAACUUAUCCGUAAGAUGGUUUUGAGAAACAGGGCCGUGAUUAACAUUAGACAGAGACGUGACUAUCGUGGAUCCUCUGGGGAGCCUCAACAACAUUAUGAAGCUGACGAGGCAGAGACGAGUCCCUCCCGAUCAGAACACCACAAGAAACACCAGAGGAGACCCACAGGGAAGAAAUCUCACUGCUGCUCUGACUGUGGGAAGAGUUACUUAAGAUCAAAUUCACUAAAGGUACACAUGAGAAUUCACACAGGAGAGAAACGUUAUAGCUGUGAUCAAUGUGGAAAGAGUUUUACUACACCUAGCCAUCGGAUUGUACACCAGAGAACACACACAGGAGACAAAUUGUAUAGCUGUGAUCAAUGUGGGAAGAGUUUAACUCAGUCAAGCAGCCUGUUAUCUGCACCAGAGAAAACACACAGGAGAGAAACUUUUAGCUGUUAUCAAUGUGUGAAAAGUUUUACUCAGUCAAGCAACCUGGUAUCACACCAGAGAACACACACAGGAGAGAAACCGUAUAGUAGUGAACAAUGUGGGAAGAGUUUUACUACAUCUAGCCAUCUGAUUAUACACCAGCGAACACACACAGGAGAGAAACCUUUUAGCUGUGAUCAAUGUGGGAAGAGUUUUACUACAUCCAGCCAUCUGAUUAUACACCAGAGAACACACCCAGGAGAUCAAUCUUAUAGCUGUGAUCAAUGUGGGAAGAGUUUUACUACAUCUAGCUAUCUGACUAUACACCAGAGAACACACACAGGAGAGAAACCUCAUAGCUGUGAUCAAUGUGACAAGCGAUACUCUGAUAAAAGAUCUCUGAUCAAACAUCAGAAAAUACAUUAAUGAAGGAGUUGUUUCAUGAUAUCAAUGAAAUGAUGUCACAAUGUAGAAUGUUUUACCAUUGUAGUAGGAGUAUUUUAAUGAUAUCACAAUGUACAAUGUUUUCACAUUGUAGUAGGAGUAUUUUAAUGAUGUCACAAUGUAGAUUGUUUUCACAUUGUAGUAGGAGUAUUUUAAUAAUGUCACAAUGUAGAAUGUUUUAACAUUGUAGAAGGAGUAUUUUAAUGAUGUCACAAUGUAGAACACUAAACGUUUGCCCCCUGUUCAGUUGAUUUCAGCAUGAUAUGGAUAUUAGCCUCAUGGAAAAAUCCAGGCUCUGAAUUGAAAGUACUAUUUAUGUGAUGUAACAAAAAGUGACUAACAAAAAUAUAGCUGUGUUACACUUACAGCAUUGGUGACCCACUUGAAUCAAAAUGUAGCUAGGAGUUUUCUACAAGUUGUCCUCUAACCAGUGAUGUACACAUUAUUCCCAGAUUCCAUCUGGUUUUUGAGCUGUUAGUUUUAACAUGACAUGCAACCUCAUCUCCCCACUCUCACGCAAAUGAUUUCAACAUGAUAUCGAUGAGUGAUGAAAAAUAACUGUUGCGUUCCUUUGUUUAGCGACCUCUAAAUUGAAAGGCAUCACUCCAAAAUGUAGCUGACUGUCUUCUGCAGGUUGUCCUCUAACCAGUGAGGUAAAAUAUAUCUCCCAUUUCCAUGUGUUUGUUUAGUUGUGUUAGUUUCAACAGCACAUACAACCUGAUUUCCCCCCUAAUUGAUAUCAGUGAUUUAUUGCUACUUGUCAAAACAACAGUGUUUCUGGUGCUUGUGCAUUUUAAAAGGUGCUUGUUUUAAAAAAUACAAGUAAUAUGAUUA
Long non-coding RNA from Salvelinus fontinalis (brook trout), 2325 nucleotides. RefSeq lists it as uncharacterized. The transcript has 2 exons. Lineage: Eukaryota; Metazoa; Chordata; Actinopteri; Salmoniformes; Salmonidae. The record is from RefSeq and is a predicted model, not a curated record.